AACGAACGCUGGCGGCAUGCCUAACACAUGCAAGUCGAACGAGACCUUCGGGUCUAGUUGCGCACGGGUGCGUAACGCGUGGGAACCUGCCCUUAGGUUCGGAAUAACUCCCCGAAAGGGGUGCUAAUACCGGAUAAUGUCUUCGGACCAAAGAUUUAUCGCCAUUGGAUGGGCCCGCGUUGGAUUAGCUAGUGGGUAUGGUAAAAGCCUACCAAGGCGACGAUCCAUAGCUGGUCUGAGAGGAUGAUCAGCCACACUGGGACUGAGACACGGCCCAGAAUCCUACGGGAGGCAGCAGUGGGGAAUAUUGGACAAUGGGCGAAAGCCUGAUCCAGCAAGGCCGCGUGAGUGAUGAAGGCCGUAGGGUUGUAAAGCUCUUUUACCCGGGAUGAUAAUGACAGUACCGGGAGAAUAAGCUCCGGCUAACUCCGUG
Molecule: ribosomal RNA, 433 nt
Filed under: uncultured bacterium
Lineage: Bacteria
Description: partial 16S ribosomal RNA
Rfam family: Bacterial small subunit ribosomal RNA
Source: RNAcentral